CUACGGGAGGCACCAGUGGGAAUUUUGGCCAAUGGGGCAACCCUGAUUCAGCAAUGCCGGGUGAUGAAGAAGCCUUCGGGUUGUAAAGUUUUUUGUCAGGGAAGAAACGGUGAGGUCUAAUACACUUUACUAAUGACGGUACCUGAAGAAUAAGCACCGGCUAACUACGUGCCAGCAGCCGCGGUAAUACGUAGGGUGCAAGCGUUAAUCGGAAUUACUGGGCGUAAAGCGUGCGCAGGCGGUUAUAUAAGUCAGAUGUGAAAUCCCCGGGCUCAACCUGGGAACUGCAUUUGAGACUGUAUGGCUAGAGUGUGUCAGAGGGGGGUAGAAUUCCACGUGUAGCAGUGAAAUGCGUAGAUAUGUGGAGGAAUACCGAUGGCGAAGGCAGCCCCCUGGGAUAACACUGACGCUCAUGCACGAAAGCGUGGGGAGCAAACAGGAUUAGAUACCCUGGUAGUCCACGCCCUAAACGAUGUCUACUAGGUGUUGGGAGGGUAAAACCUUUUAGUACCGUAGCUAACGCGUGAAGUUGACCGCCUGGGGAGUACGGUCGCAAGAUUAAAACUCAAAGGAAUUGACGGGGACCCGCACAAGCGGUGGAUGAUGUGGAUUAAUUCGAUGCAACGCGAAAAACCUUACCUACCCUUGACAUGUACAGAAUGCCGAAGAGAUUUGGCGGUGCUCGCAAGAGAACUGUAACACAGGUGCUGCAUGGCUGUCGUCAGCUCGUGUCGUGAGAUGUUGGGUUAAGUCCCGCAACGAGCGCAACCCUUGUCAUUAGUUGCUACAUUAAGUUGAGCACUCUAAUGAGACUGCCGGUGACAAACCGGAGGAAGGUGGGGAUGACGUCAAGUCCUCAUGGCCCUUAUGGGUAGGGCUUCACACGUCAUACAAUGGUACAUACAGAGGGCCGCCAACCCGCGAGGGGGAGCUAAUCCCAGAAAGUGUAUCGUAGUCCGGAUUGUAGUCUGCAACUCGACUACAUGAAGUUGGAAUCGCUAGUAAUCGCGGAUCAGCAUGUCGCGGUGAAUACGUUCCCGGGUCUUGUACACACCGCCCGUCACACCAUGGGAGCGGGUUUCACCAGAAGUAGGUAGCUUAACCGCAAGGAGGGCGCUUACCACGGUGGGAUUCGUGACUGGGGUGAAGUCGUAACAAGGUA
Molecule: ribosomal RNA, 1162 nt
Filed under: uncultured bacterium
Lineage: Bacteria
Description: bacterial SSU rRNA
Rfam family: Bacterial small subunit ribosomal RNA
Source: RNAcentral